UUUUGACUCCUCACCUGACAGAAUGAGGCUACUUGGACUGUAGAUCCUCCUGUUGCCUCGCUUGGGAUUUUAGUUUGAGUUGUAGGCUUAAACCAAUGGGAAUGGAAUCAACAAUUUUAAGUCCUAAGCAGGAAGGUGAAAACUGUUCUUGUAUUUAAACCUUGAGACUUUUCUAACUUGCCCACUUUGUUGAACUGCAGUUGAAAUUUGCCAAGACUUUGCAAUGAAAAGCUGAACCAAGAAGAGAGUUCUGGAAAGAAAAAGGAAGUUUUUCCUUAAGCUCUAAAGAAGUGCCCAGAGGCUAUGAAUGAAACUGCUGAACAUUUCACAGAUACUGCAAGGGGCAAUUUCUGCCCCAUGCAGUUUACAGCAAAAAAUAAGCAAGACAGCCAAAAGCAGGAGGCAAUAACCAAGGGAGGGAUUUGGCAUGAAAUCUGCUGCAAGAACAUGCAAGUGCGGGAAGCAACAGAGAGCUCUGCUGCUGCAGAUUUCCGUCAGGGUUAG
This 504-nucleotide long non-coding RNA is filed under the name Anser brachyrhynchus (Pink-footed goose). RNAcentral's name for it is "lncRNA (ENSABRG00000015151.1)". Lineage: Eukaryota; Metazoa; Chordata; Aves; Anseriformes; Anatidae. The record is from RNAcentral.